CCUACGGGGGACAGCAGUUGGGAAUAUUGCACAAUGGGGGAAACCCUGAUGCAGCGACGCCGCGUGGGUGACGAAGUAUUUCGGUAUGUAAAGCCCUAUCAGCAGGGAAGAAGAUGACAGUACCUGACUAAGAAGCCCCGGCUAACUACGUGCCAGCAGCCGCGGUAUUACGUAGGGGGCACGCGUUAUCCGGAUUUACUGGGUGUAACGGGAGCGUAGGUGGCUUGGCAAGCCAGAAGUGAAAACCCGGGGCUUAACCCCGCGGAUUGCUUUUGGAACUGUCAGGCUGGAGGGCAGGAGGGGCAGGCGGAAUUCCGGGUGUAGCGGUGAAAUGCGUAGAUAUCAGGAGGAACACCGGUGGCGAAGGCGGCCUGCUGGACUGUAACUGACACUGAGGCUCGAAAGCGUGGGGAGCAAACAGGAGUAGAUACCCCUGUAGUC
Molecule: ribosomal RNA, 441 nt
Filed under: uncultured bacterium
Lineage: Bacteria
Description: partial 16S ribosomal RNA
Rfam family: Bacterial small subunit ribosomal RNA
Source: RNAcentral